AGAGUUUGAUCCUGGCUCAGGACGAACGCUGGCGGCGUGCCUAACACAUGCAAGUCGAGCGAAUGAAGUUCCUUCGGGAACGGAUUUAGCGGCGGACGGGUGAGUAACACGUGGGCAACCUGCCUCAUAGAGGGGAAUAGCCUUCCGAAAGGGAGAUUAAUACCGCAUAAGAUUGUAGUACCGCAUGGUACAGCAAUUAAAGGAGCAAUCCGCUAUGAGAUGGGCCCGCGGCGCAUUAGCUAGUUGGUGAGGUAACGGCUCACCAAGGCGACGAUGCGUAGCCGACCUGAGAGGGUGAUCGGCCACAUUGGGACUGAGACACGGCCCAGACUCCUACGGGAGGCAGCAGUGGGGAAUAUUGCACAAUGGGGGAAACCCUGAUGCAGCAACGCCGCGUGAGUGAUGACGGCCUUCGGGUUGUAAAGCUCUGUCUUCAGGGACGAUAAUGACGGUACCUGAGGAGGAAGCCACGGCUAACUACGUGCCAGCAGCCGCGGUAAUACGUAGGUGGCUAGCGUUGUCCGGAUUUACUGGGCGUAAAGGGAGCGUAGGCGGAUUUUUAAGUGAGAUGUGAAAUACUCGGGCUUAGCCUGAGUGCUGCAUUUCAAACUGGAAGUCUAGGGUGCAGGAGAGGAGAAGGGAAUUCCUAGUGUAGCGGUGAAAUGCGUAGAGAUUAGGAAGAACACCAGUGGCGAAGGCGCUUCUCUGGACUGUAACUGACGCUGAGGCUCAAAAGCGUGGGGAGCAAACAGGAUUAGAUACCCCGGUAGUCCACGCCGUAAACGAUGAAUACUAGGUGUAGGGGUUGUCAUGACCUCUGUGCCGCCGCUAACGCAUUAAGUAUUCCGCCUGGGGAGUACGGUCGCAAGAUUAAAACUCAAAGGAAUUGACGG
Molecule: ribosomal RNA, 893 nt
Filed under: uncultured bacterium
Lineage: Bacteria
Description: bacterial SSU rRNA
Rfam family: Bacterial small subunit ribosomal RNA
Source: RNAcentral